CGCUGUGAUGCGGGCGGUUCGCCGCCCGUGACUCUGCGAGAAGUCCAUUGAACCUUAUCAUUUAGAGGAAGGAGAAGUCGUAACAAGGUUUCCGUAGGUGAACCUGCGGAAGGAUCAUUGUCGAGACCGAAACACUACGAGCGAUUUGGAGAACCUGUCAAAGUAAGCGGUGGCUAUCGUUACCGCGAUAAAAGCCAUCCCAAACGCUGCCUCCAUCCCCUUUGGGGCGGGGAACACGAUGAAGGAUGGACGAACACUCAAACCGGCGCAGCAUCGCGCCAAGGGAAUGUCGAAACACGAGAUCUUAAUUGGGUCUGGUGGCAUGGGGUGCUGUUGCACGCCAUAUGGAUUGACACGACUCUCGGCAAUGGAUAUCUCGGCUCUCGCAUCGAUGAAGAGCGCAGCGAAAUGCGAUACGUGGUGCGAAUUGCAGAAUCCCGUGAACCAUCGAGUCUUUGAACGCAAGUUGCGCCCGAGGCCAACCGGCCAAGGGCACGUCUGCCUGGGCGUCAAGCGUUACGUCACUUCGUGUCAACUCCAUCCCAUCAAUGGAUGGGCUGGUGAAGGCUCGGAUGUGCAGAGUGGCUCGUCGUGCCCCUCGGUGCGGCGGGUUGAAGAGCGGGUCAUCAUCUCGUCGGCUACGAACAAUAAGGGGUGGAUUGAAUCGAGGCCUAUGUUAUUGUGUCGUGUGCUCCUGGGAGGAGAUCAUAUGUUAUCGGGUGAUCCCAAAUCAUGCGUUGAUCCACGGAUGACGCUCGGAAUGCGACCCCAGGACGGGCGAGGCCACCCGCCGAGUUUAAGCAUAUCAAUAAGCGGAGGAGAAGAAACUUAUGAGGAUUCCCC
Molecule: ribosomal RNA, 843 nt
Filed under: Dendrobium lobbii
Lineage: Eukaryota; Viridiplantae; Streptophyta; Magnoliopsida; Asparagales; Orchidaceae
Description: eukaryotic LSU rRNA
Rfam family: 5.8S ribosomal RNA (bases 357-512)
Source: RNAcentral